Cyprinus carpio carpio is the source of this 1027-nucleotide long non-coding RNA. Lineage: Eukaryota; Metazoa; Chordata; Actinopteri; Cypriniformes; Cyprinidae. The record is from Ensembl.
AUGGAUGUGUUUGAAGUCUGUCGGAUCAAACCAGAUGAGGGCAGUGAAGGUUUGAUGGUGUGGCGCCCCAGCAAUCUACAAAGCCAGAUGCAACAUAUGGGUAAUAUGAGUCACAUCAUAAGAAGACUAUGUCUUGUUUGGCUUGUUCUGGAAGGCCUAUGCAAGCGCUCAUUCGGGCUACAAGAUGACAAGAAAAAAAGGACGAAGACUGAUUCCAUGGGAUGGAUCACUGAUGGGUGAAGACAGAAGAGGGCUGAAGAAGAACCGCUAACUGGCAGUCUAGUCAUAUAAGGAUUCAUAAAAGAUGUUGAAAAUCACAGCUGAUUUAUUCUCCAAAUCUCUCAUAAUGUUGGGAAUGCUGGGAAGUGCACUGCACUGUGGGAAAUAUUUUGUGCUGUAUGUUCUCAUCAGUACUUUAGAAUCACUCUUCUAUAUGUACCAGUAGACAAGUUUAAGAGUUUAUAAAAAAAAGGGGUUUCAUUUCUUUAAACAACUUUAAACAUUUAGAAGCAAACAAUGUCAAUGUGUUUAUUCCUUGAACAGCCAUUUCCAUUGUUUAUUUAGAUAUUAAUAUGCAACACGUCCAAUAGCAUCAUAUUCGACACUUCACAUCACUGCAGCAUCAACCAACAUGCUUUGAUGGGUUCUCGAUGCCAGUGUAAUGAAAUGUACAUACAAAAACAUGCUCAUCUCUACAGGGAAAAUGCUAAAUCUGAUUAGCCGCAUUAUGCACAUGCAAUAACCAUUUACACAGUAAACAAAAUGUGGGGUAAUGCAUUUGCCAUCAACUGGAAGACUGAUUAAAUUUAUAAUAAAUAAAUAAUCCCAUUACACCAGUAAUUGGCAUCACUGACUUCAAAAGUCAGCUACACUAUAUAAUUUCUAAAAAAAAAAAAAAAAAAAAUCAUACCGGUACCUACUGAAUAAGGAACACACAUUUUUCUGCCAUCGAAGCAAUUAAAGCUCUCAACAAUAGUUCACCCCAAAAUUAAAUCUUGCUGAAAAUUUACUCACCAUAAGAAAAAGC